ACAACCGGGAUUGCCUCAGUAACGGCGAGUGAAGCGGCAACAGCUCAAAUUUGAAAACUGGUCCGUCCCCGACGGGCCCGAGUUGUAAUUUGGAGAGGGUGCUUCGGGCACGGCGUCGGCGUAAGUGCCUAGGAACAGGCCGUCACAGAGGGUGAGAACCCCGUCCGCCGCCGGCGACCACGCCCGCGCAGAAGCCCCUUCGACGAGUCGAGUUGUUUGGGAAUGCAGCUCUAAAUGGGUGGUAAAUUCCAUCUAAAGCUAAAUACGGGUCGGAGACCGAUAGCGCACAAGUAGAGUGAUCGAAAGAUGAAAAGCACUUUGGAAAGAGAGUCAAACAGCACGUGAAAUUGUUGAAAGGGAAGCGCUGGCGACCAGACCGGUGCGGGGGCGAUCACCCGGGGCGUGCUCCCGGGGCACUCGCCCCCGACGCCGGCCAGCAUCGAUCCGGACGGCGGGACAAAGGGCCCGGGAAGGUAGCUCUCCUGCGGGGGAGUCUUAUAGCCCGGGCCGGCAUGCCGCCCGUCAGGAUCGAGGAACGCGCUCCGGCUCGGAUGCUGGCGUAAUGGUCGUCAGCGACCCGUCUUGAAACACGGACCAAGGAGUCUAACAUCUAUGCGAGUGUUUGGGCGUCAAACCCCUGGACGCGGAAUGAAAGUGAACGCAGGUGGGAUCCCCUCUCCCUUUCGGGGGGGGCGCACCAUCGACCGAUCCGGAUGUCUUCGGAUGGAUUUGAGUAGGAGCAUAGCUGUUGGGACCCGAAAGAUGGUGAACUAUGCCUGAAUAGGGCGAAGCCAGAGGAAACUCUGGUGGAGGCUCGCAGCGGUUCUGACGUGCAAAUCGAUCGUCGAAUUUGGGUAUAGGGGCGAAAGACCAAUCGAACCAU
Molecule: ribosomal RNA, 883 nt
Filed under: Coccocarpia palmicola
Lineage: Eukaryota; Fungi; Ascomycota; Lecanoromycetes; Peltigerales; Coccocarpiaceae
Description: LSU rRNA
Rfam family: Eukaryotic large subunit ribosomal RNA
Source: RNAcentral